GGCAGGCUUAACACAUGCAAGUCGAGGGGCAGCGAGGGUAAUAGCAAUAUUACCUGUCGGCGACCGGCGCACGGGUGCGUAACGCGUAUGCAACCUACCAUCAACAGGGGGAUAACACUGAGAAAUUGGUACUAAUACCCCAUAAUAUCUCAUGCGGCAUCGCAUGGGGUUGAAAACUCCGGUGGUUGAUGAUGGGCAUGCGUUGUAUUAGCUGGUUGGUGAGGUAACGGCUCACCAAGGCGACGAUACAUAGGGGGACUGAGAGGUUAACCCCCCACAUUGGUACUGAGACACGGACCAAACUCCUACGGGAGGCAGCAGUGAGGAAUAUUGGUCAAUGGCCGCAAGUCUGAACCAGCCAUGCCGCGUGCAGGAUGACGGCUCUAUGAGUUGUAAACUGCUUUUGUACGAGGGUAAACCCCGAUACGUGUAUUGGGUUGAAAGUAUCGUACGAAUAAGGAUCGGCUAACUCCGUGCCAGCAGCCGCGGUAAUACGGAGGAUCCGAGCGUUAUCCGGAUUUAUUGGGUUUAAAGGGUGCGUAGGCGGUUUGAUAAGUUAGAGGUGAAAUGUCGGGGCUCAACCCCGAAACUGCCUCUAAUACUGUUGGACUAGAGAAUAGUUGCGGUAGGCGGAAUGUAUGGUGUAGCGGUGAAAUGCUUAGAGAUCAUACAGAACACCGAUUGCGAAGGCAGCUUACCAAACUAUAUCUGACGUUGAGGCACGAAGGCGUGGGUAGCAAACAGGAUUAGAUACCCUGGUAGUCCACGCAGUAAACGAUGAUAACUCGUUGUCGGCGAUACACAGUCGGUGACUAAGCGAAAGCGAUAAGUUAUCCACCUGGGGAGUACGUUCGCAAGAAUGAAACUCAAAGGAAUUGACGGGGGCCCGCACAAGCGGAGGAACAUGUGGUUUAAUUCGAUGAUACGCGAGGAACCUUACCCGGGCUUGAAAGUUAGCGACGACGCUUGAAAGAGCGUUUCCCUUCGGGGCGCGAAACUAGGUGCUGCAUGGUUGUCGUUAGCUCGUGCCGUGAGGUAUCGGGUUAAGUCCCAUAACGAGCGCAACCCCUACUGUUAGUUGCCAUCAGGUGAUGCUGGGCACUCUAGCGGGACUGCCGGUGUAAGCCGAGAGGAAGGUGGGGAUGACGUCAAAUCAGCACGGCCCUUACGUCCGGGGCGACACACGUGUUACAAUGGCAGGUACAGAGAGAAGCGACACGGCGACGUGGAGCGGAACUGUCAAAACCUGUCUCAGUUCGGAUCGGAGUCUGCAACCCGACUCCGUGAAGCUGGAUUCGCUAGUAAUCGCGCAUCAGCCAUGGCGCGGUGAAUACGUUCCCGGGC
RNAcentral lists this ribosomal RNA (1344 nucleotides) under uncultured bacterium. Its description in RNAcentral is "bacterial SSU rRNA". It matches the Rfam family "Bacterial small subunit ribosomal RNA", at positions 41 to 1379 of the family's 1533-position model. The record is from RNAcentral.